This 494-nucleotide ribosomal RNA is filed under the name uncultured bacterium. Its description in RNAcentral is "partial 16S ribosomal RNA". It matches the Rfam family "Bacterial small subunit ribosomal RNA", at positions 28 to 507 of the family's 1533-position model. The record is from RNAcentral.
GACGAACGCUGGCGGCGUGCUUAACACAUGCAAGUCGAACGGUGAAGCGCCUUCCUUUUUGGUGGGUGUGGUUGAGUGGCGAACGGGGGAGUAACACGUGAGUAACCUGCCCCCUUCUUCUGGAUAACCGCAUGAAAGUUUGGCUAAUACGGGUAAUUCUGGUUCUGUCGCAGUAGGGGUUUGGGAGAGAGAUUGUUUCGGUGGGUGAUGUGCUCGCGGCCUAUCUUCUUGUUGGGGGGGUGAUGGCCUACACAGGCGGUGCCGUGUAGCCGGCCUGGGAGGGUGGGCGGCCACACGGGGGAGACGACGCGGCGACGACUCCUGGGGGAAGCAGCAGGGGGUAAUCUUGAACAGUGGGAGGAAGUAUGAUGCAGCGCCGCGGCGUGAGGGAUGGAGUUCUUUGGGUUGUGAACCUCUUUCGCGAGAGAAGGAGGCCUGAGUAGUUUGUGAGUGGGUUGACGGUAGCUGGAUAAGAAGCGCCGGCUAACUACGUG